GACGAACGCUGGCGGCGUGCUUAAUACAUGCAAGUCGAACGGACAGGCCAUGCUUUUGUGGGGUGGUCGAUUGGCGAACGGGUGAGUAAAACGUGUGUAAACUGCCCUUGUCUUUGGGAUAACAUUUGGAAACUGGGGCUAAUACAGGAUAGGAGCUCCUGCUCCGUGUUGGGGGUUGGAAAGUUUCGGCGGUUGGGGCUGGACUCGCUGCUUAUCCGCUAGUUUGUGGGGUAGUGGCUUACCAAGGCUUUGACGGGUAGCCUGCGUGAGAGGGUGACCGGCCACCAUGGGACUGAGAUACGGCGCAGACGCCUACGGGAGGCAGCAGUGGGGAAUAUUGCACAAUGGGCGGAAGCCUGAUGCAGCAACGCCGCGUGCGGGAUGACGGCCUUCGAGUUGUAAACCGCUUUCGCCUGUGACGAAGCGUGAGUGACGGUAAUGGGUAAAGAAGCACCGGCUAACUACGUG
This 468-nucleotide ribosomal RNA is filed under the name uncultured bacterium. RNAcentral's name for it is "partial 16S ribosomal RNA". It matches the Rfam family "Bacterial small subunit ribosomal RNA", at positions 28 to 507 of the family's 1533-position model. The record is from RNAcentral.